GUCUUGGUCACCCACCUGGGGACUUCUAUCUAGAUUUUAUUGGCCAGGUGUUACCACUUAUCCCUUGGAGAAGCAGGUGAGCCUGGUCAUUCUGUCUUUAUCUUGAGGCCUGGCCUCCAACAGACGCACCUCUAGCCAUAGCUGUGAUGUGUUUUCAUCUUUUGCAUUCACUCUCUGAAGGGCUCAGCCCUGUCUGACUGCCUGGAAUAUUUCUACCUCACUCAGCUGUCUGUGACAGAGCCAGCACCCCUACCAUGCCGCCCCGCAGUGCAGAUGAAAUGAGAAAGCUGCAGGGGAACCCUGAGCUGGGCUCUCAGCACACUGCACCUGAGUGUGGGCCACGCUAGAUGAGAGCAAGUGUCCAUACAGAGGAUGGCAUGCGUCUUAGCUCAGGCUGACGAACAAAACCUUGCAAACCAGUGGCUUAAGCAAAGACAUGGGCUCCUUACGGUUCUGGAGACUGGGAAGUCCGACUGAGGUGUCAGGCAGUUUGGCUUCUGGUGAGCUCCUUCCUGGCUUGGGAGAGACUGGCUGUCUGCCUGCUGCGUCCCAAGUGAGAUUUCCUGGGCAUGAAAGAGAGUGCACGAGCUCUGGCUCUCUUCCCCUUCUUAUUGGGAGAGUGAUCCUAUUGGAUUCGGCCCCACACCGUGACCUCGUUUCACCUCAGUGCCCUCCACCUACCUGUAGCACACUCACUUGGGGCCAGGGCUUCAGAGCGCCAGCUUAGGAGGGACGUGACUUAGCCAGAACAGCACCUAAGAGGCUCUUGGUAGGCAGGAGCCACCAUCACAACUACCAAAACUACCGUUAAGCAGCGACAAGCCCUGGCCAUAUAAACACCCUGUCCCUUCAUUCUCAGCCAUAAUACUUGGGAGUUAGGAAUUGUUUUCAUUUUUACAAAUGAGGAAAGUGCGAUGUAACUAGUACCCUUUGACAUUACAAGAACUAGGUGGCGAGGUGCCGGCCCACGUAUGCUUAGUGAGGCUGUCAAACAUAGGCCCUGAGGUCCAACUGCCUGGAUUCAGAUCCCACCUCUGCCGUACACCUUGCUGUGUAACCACAGGCGAGUGUCCUGCCUUCUCGGCGCCUCACUGGCUAAACCCAUUACAGGGACAGUCUUCCUCUCAUAGCCCCCCAAAGGGGAGCAGCACAACCCCGCCAAGGUUCCGAGCUUUGCCGAGCUCACAGCCCUUGUGGCUGCAGGGCUGGACUUCGGGGUCAGGAUCUCCAGACCGAGCCCACCCUGGGGACCACUGUGCCACACUGCCCCAGACUCGGGUACCUGUCCGCCCGUGCCUGCCAGCUGCUCCUGACUCAGCGCUCCCUCCUGGGAACGCUGCUGCUCAGCUCCGCCAUGAACAGGACCCGGCCUGCUGUUCUGAUGGUGCUCAGAUUCAUUCUGAGGAGCAUCCAUCCCUCAGGCGGCAGGGGGACACCAGGCUGGGAGCACAGAAGGUUCUGGAAUGUUCCUUCACUCCUCGGCCCGACUCCCUCUCCGGAAGACUGGCGCAGUCUUCGGACUUUUUUUAAUUUUCAGAUUAAGAUAAUUUAAUACUCUCCGCGAUUCACAGAACAGUGGAAAAGAGCUCUGUUCCCAACGAUUCCCAGCGCCAGCACCAGAGCAGGCAGCUCAUUCAUCUUUAUUAGGCGUGUUCCAGAAAAAGCCUGAGAGCGAGAUCACUCAAGUCACCCCAGGAUCCUCAGCCCACCCCGAGGCAGGAUGAGCAGCCAGCGCAGGCGAGCCUCAUCCUGGGAUCCCCCUGCAGGAUGCCAUUAGGAGGAUCUGGCUCCUGGGGCCAUGCAGAGCCCUCUCCACCCAGCCUGUCAAUGUCAUGGAAGCCAAAUGCAUCCUGACAGUCGCAUUUCCUGAGCCAGCUGCUGAGUCACCACCAGGGAAGGCCCCAGGGCUCCAGGAACUGGGGUCUGCAAAUGGGGACAGGAUUAAAUAAAUCGGCGGAUGUCUGGAUUUCGUUGAGAGCCAGGGUUUCCCCUGUGGGAGAAGAGAAACGCCCGUGUGGAAUGGAGAGGGAAGAAAGAGCCCCCUGGAAUGAAUGAUAUCAGUGUGAACUCAUGUAACACAGGCACGUGUACGUACGUACGUACGUACGUACGAAGCACCCACGCAGGCACGGUCCCUCCCGAGGCCAAGCAGCACUGCUACCCUAGUAGUGACGAGCACAGGUUGGCGCCAUCUUUGUUUCUAAAUACCACUCUCCACUGAACCGGGCUGCUUGAGAAAUGGUCCAUUCCAAGGGCUGGGCAGGAAAAUUAUCUCGCCAUGCAGAAAAGGAGAUGCUCAAAAAAUUAGAGGGUCCUGUCCAAAGGACACGGAAGUCAGAGGCGGCUCAUGAGAGGGCUGCCACCCAGACAAGACCAAGAAGCCAGUCUCGUGGCCAAGAUCUUCCUUGUAGGAAGAUUUUUUUUUCCCUGCGCUUUUUCAGUCUUUCUAUCCUCUAGGCAUCUCCACCAUAUUCCAGUUUCUAUGCUUAAAUAAUUCCCACAGGAUGCAGAUGAACAACUCUGACACACAGAGCUUUCUUUUCUCUGUUCAGAAACCAUUCCCAUCUUUUAAGCGGUCUCACAUCACCCCAGCACACAUCUUGAAGAGUCUGUGCCUUGGUAAGUGUCUGCACAAUGCUCAGUUCCUGUCAGUGUGGACUGAACACUUGCUGAGUGCCCAGCCUCAGGCUGUGUGCCUUGCGUUAGCUGAAGGAGCCAUCAUGGCUGCUCUGUGAGUUCUGUUCAUAAUCCCAUUUCAGUGACAUUGAGGCAGAGACUUUCAAGGGUAAGGCAAUUGCCCAACACCAGGCAACCAGGAGUCACACAAACUGAACUUGGGUUCCAGGCCCAACUGUGUCCAGAGGCGUUGACGUUCUCCUGUAGGGGGUUGGAUGGUGGCCCCAGAAGAUAUGCCUGUCCUGAAUCCCUGAAACUUGUAUUACUGUCAACAGCAAAAGAGUGAACAUCAGUCACCUUUCAGGAUGGAGAGAUGGGAAUAAAUUAAGGAUCUCAACAGAGCCCCUGAAUGGAAUCACAUGUAUCCUUAUCAGAGCCAUUGAGGGAGGUGAGAGAGAGGAUGGACAGAAGAGAAGAGACCAUGUGAUGGUUAAUCUCGAGUGCCAGCUUGAUUGGAUUGAGAGAUUAAUGAAGCGCCCUCUCAGUGUGAGACAAUUGGCAUGUGGGCCAGCAAACUGAAAGGACAAAACUCGCCUAGAAUUGGGUGGUGCUGACCAGUAGGAUGGGGGCCCAGAUGGGACAAAAGUGGAAGGCGGUUCCUCCAGCACUCACAAGCUCCAUUCUGCUUGAGUGGACUGGUCUUUUGCUGCCAUUGCCUGUGGACCUCCAGCUCCAGCUUCUUCAGCCUUUCAGUCACACGAGUGACUCUCCAGGGAGCAACAAAGCUUUCAGCUUGCACCAGGCCUGCGUCCUGGGUCCCUCCUUGGGCGCAGCAUCCAGUUUCUUUUAGAUUGAGUGGCUUCCGGAUCCUCUGCAGCCUCUGAUCCUGUAAACCAGUCUAGGAAGCCCCCUUUAUAAUUAUAUAGAGAGUAUUGAUGCUGUUUCUGGAGAACCCUAACCAAUAUACGUGAAGACAGGCAGAGAUGGGAGAGAUGUGGCCACAGGCUCAGAGCCCCUGGACCCACCAGAAACUGGAAGAGGCAGCCAGGAGUAUGAAAGGAGACAUUUUGGCUAUGGGAAACCACCAGUUUGUGCUGAUUUGUUACAGCAGCCACAGGAAACCCAUAAAGCCUCUAUGCCUCUUUGCUUCCCAGCUUGGGAUUUGGGCACAUGGCAGGGGCCAGUGCUCCAGGGAAUUGUGAGCCAUGCCAUGCCACAGAUGCUCCUGUUUCUUUGUACUCUGGGCCUGCAGAGCAACUGAGAUGAGGAUGGAGCCUGGGGAGAAGGCGGCAGGACCCUGUGGUGAGAUGAGACCAUUAUCCACUUGAUCCGUGCAAAAUUCUUGAGCCUCGGUGUGGAGAGCUGUGUCCCGAGAGCCACAGAUGCAGCAGCACAAACUAGGGGCCUGCAGGGGCAGGAGGAAGGAGGCUGGAGGGUGGGCAAUGUAGGGACAGUGUGAACUGGUGCCGAGUCUUGUCUAACAGGACAUGACGAUGGCUGUGUCCAUCGUAGGCACAGCACUCCGGGUCUGCAAAGCCAGAACGAGCAUCUUCAUGUGACACUUGCCCAUUGUCAGUUUCCCUGCAGUAGGCUACACAGCCACUGGAUCCCUCCUGUGGCUCAGACAAGCUCCCCAAAGGGCUUGGCCCUUCGGCCCAUGGAAGGGACACGUUCACCAGGGAUUCUUGAAAACACAAUACAUUUCAACUGCAUUCCAUGUCCUGAUAGGACUCUGCCACCUUUGCCUUCGCAGCCACUGGGAGACAUGGAAGUGGGGAGUGGAAAGGGCAUUUGAACAGAACUUCCUUUCCCAUGUCACAGUGUCACAUGAGCACAAGGUAAAGCAGACAGUCUGUCUCCCUACUGGGAAUACAUCAGCGUCCAUACAGCAGGUGGCCCACCAGACAUGAACAUUAACAAGGAAUCAUGAGCAAGCCAGCUGUAACUGAGAGGCAUCCUGCAGGUUUGUAAGGGAGACCACAUGGCGGACUGUGGCAUCUGCUAACUCACACCUGGAAGGAAACAGGUGCGGGGUACCUCCCCUGGGGCCCAGAACCACCAGAAAAGUCCACUCCCAUGGCUCGCUGUGUGGGUGCAGCCACCCCCCAGAGAUGUGCACAUCCUAAUCCCAGAAACCUAUGUAUAUGUUUGUUUUUUGUUUUGGGGGGGUUUUUUUUUUUUUUUUUUGGUACUGGGAAU
This is a non-coding RNA of Heterocephalus glaber (naked mole-rat), 4815 nucleotides long. The record is from RefSeq and is a predicted model, not a curated record. NCBI's taxonomy places the organism in Eukaryota, Metazoa, Chordata, Mammalia, Rodentia, Bathyergidae.